GCUCUAUUAGCUCAGCUGGUUAGAGCGCCGUGCUUAUAGUGGUGUUCCCAUUAUGAUAGAGUCACGCGGAUGUCGCCAGUUCGAUCCUGGCAUAGAGCA
Coemansia sp. RSA 1365 is the source of this 99-nucleotide non-coding RNA. The record is from the annotation of a GenBank genome assembly. NCBI's taxonomy places the organism in Eukaryota, Fungi, Kickxellomycota, Kickxellomycetes, Kickxellales, Kickxellaceae.